GUUCUGCCAACCGAGGUGCCAGGCAGGUCAGCUCCCACCCUGGGCCGCUGACUCAUGCUGCUCAUCGUGUCUCCCUGUCGUGUACCGAGCAUCCCUGUCCCGCUGUCUGGAGACAGAGGUCGGAGGAGAGGAGCAGGCAGCAUAAAAAGUUUCCCGAACCUCUUCUCAAAUAAUGGCUGGGAGGGAGGAAGGCGAAUCCUAGAAAAGUGAGUUCCUUGGUGUGUUCAGCUAGCGAGGGGCAGAGC
RNAcentral lists this long non-coding RNA (245 nucleotides) under Fukomys damarensis (Damara mole-rat). RNAcentral describes it as "lncRNA (ENSFDAG00000031027.1)". Lineage: Eukaryota; Metazoa; Chordata; Mammalia; Rodentia; Bathyergidae. The record is from RNAcentral.